This 435-nucleotide ribosomal RNA is filed under the name uncultured bacterium. RNAcentral describes it as "bacterial SSU rRNA". It matches the Rfam family "Bacterial small subunit ribosomal RNA", at positions 28 to 459 of the family's 1533-position model. The record is from RNAcentral.
GAUGAACGCUAGCGGCAGGCUUAAUACAUGCAAGUCGUGGGGCAGCGCAGGUAGCAAUACUGGGCGGCGACCGGCAAACGGGUGCGGAACACGUACACAACCUUCCGAGAAGUGGGGAAUAGCCCAGAGAAAUUUGGAUUAAUACCCCGUAACAUAACGAUGUGGCAUCACAUUGUUAUUAUAGCUUCGGCGCUUCUUGAUGGGUGUGCGGCUGAUUAGAUAGUUGGCGGGGUAACGGCCCACCAAGUCUACGAUCAGUAGCUGAUGUGAGAGCAUGAUCAGCCACACGGGCACUGAGACACGGGCCCGACUCCUACGGGGAGGCAGCAGUAAGGAAUAUUGGUCAAUGGACGCAAGUCUGAACCAGCCAUGCCGCGUGAAGGAUUAAGGUCCUCUGGAUUGUAAACUCUUUUAUCUGGGACGAAAAAAGGAACG